GACCUUAGACAAAUGCUUAUACCUCCAAGCCCUCAUAGGUGCAACUAUAUCAAUAACACCAUCCAAGAGUUUGUGAGCAAAGUGGGGGAGGACUAUGAAUACGGGGAACAUCAUGAAUACUUGCGAGCCUACUAUUGUGGAUUAAACAAAGCAAUUGAUGAAAACAUGCAGUCA
Molecule: long non-coding RNA, 174 nt
Organism: Quercus lobata
Lineage: Eukaryota; Viridiplantae; Streptophyta; Magnoliopsida; Fagales; Fagaceae
Exons: 3
Source: RefSeq, a predicted model, not a curated record